CUCAAGUAAGAGCUCCGUAAAUGCCAGCGAUUGACUGAGCAACAAAAGUCCCGGCCACAGUGGUUUCUUUCUGUGCCCGUGGCUUACACAUCACACAAACACCAAGGUGUCCCCAGGCAUGCUACCUGCCAGGAACCCACAACAGGGUCCUACAAGACAGUGAACUAAUAUCCAGAUGCAUACAAGUCAGAGCUCCAAGUCCCAGGCUGGAGUGGAAGGACCGCACCAUUCAUGCUACAGUACCAUGUUAAGCCGCUUCGAGGUGACCCUACAGAGUACUGCUGUCAUCUCCACGGCUCUCAGAGGAGAAAUCAGGGCUCAGAGAAACUAAGUAACCUCAACAAAGGGGUAAUUGAACUGGG
Molecule: long non-coding RNA, 362 nt
Filed under: Rattus norvegicus (Norway rat)
Lineage: Eukaryota; Metazoa; Chordata; Mammalia; Rodentia; Muridae
Description: long non-coding RNA NONRATT023450
Source: RNAcentral